AGGAGAUUUUUCACCCUGCAAGGGAGAGCUGCCAGCAUGACACCUGUUAUCUGGCUGGGGACAGUCGUGGUAUCCACUUGUCUUGGAUCCAGCGUGGCCCAGACAGUCACUCAGUCUCAACCAGAAACGUCUGUACAGGAGGCAGGGACGGUGACCCUGGACUGUACCUAUGACACUAGAGGUAGUGAUUAUUAUUUAUUCUGGUACAAACAGCCUCCCAGUGGGCAGAUGAUUCUCAUUAUCCGCCAAGAAGCUUAUAAGCAACAGAAUGCAACGGAGAAUCGCUUCUCUGUGAACUUCCAGAAAGCAGCCAAAAUCUUCAGUCUCAAGAUCUCAGACUCACAGCUGGGGGACGCCGCGAUGUACUUCUGUGCUCUCAGGGAGCGCACAGUGAGAGGAGCAACAGGCAGAGGCUGA
Molecule: non-coding RNA, 417 nt
Organism: Cynocephalus volans (Philippine flying lemur)
Lineage: Eukaryota; Metazoa; Chordata; Mammalia; Dermoptera; Cynocephalidae
Source: the annotation of a RefSeq genome assembly